UACGUAGGGGGCUAGCGUUGUCCGGAAUCAUUGGGCGUAAAGCGCGCGUAGGCGGCCAGAUAAGUCCGGUGUGAAAGUCACAGGCUCAACCUGUGAAUGCCGCUGGAAACUGUCUGGCUAGAGUCCGGAAGGGGCGAGUGGAAUUCCUGGUGUAGCGGUGAAAUGCGCAGAUAUCAGGAGGAACACCGGUGGCGAAGGCGCUCUGCUAGGCCGUAACUGACACUGAGGGACGAAAGCUAGGGGAGCGAAUGGG
RNAcentral lists this ribosomal RNA (253 nucleotides) under uncultured bacterium. Its description in RNAcentral is "partial 16S ribosomal RNA". It matches the Rfam family "Bacterial small subunit ribosomal RNA", at positions 524 to 776 of the family's 1533-position model. The record is from RNAcentral.